UGUUGGCGCGUUAAGGAUUGCAACGACAUCCUUUUUUGUUUUUCUCAAAAAAGAUAUAGUGGAAAGCCUGACCCUUU
Molecule: non-coding RNA, 77 nt
Organism: Winogradskyella sp. RHA_55
Lineage: Bacteria; Pseudomonadati; Bacteroidota; Flavobacteriia; Flavobacteriales; Flavobacteriaceae
Source: Rfam